This 208-nucleotide long non-coding RNA is filed under the name Elaeis guineensis (African oil palm). RNAcentral's name for it is "long non-coding RNA (EGUI_LNC014337)". The record is from RNAcentral. Lineage: Eukaryota; Viridiplantae; Streptophyta; Magnoliopsida; Arecales; Arecaceae.
UUCUGUGGUGAUUGAUGAUUUAUGUUUUUGCUCCAAGUGCUUAAUAGCCUGUUUUUGCCAAAUAAGUAAAGUGAUAUACAAUGUUAUAAUCGUUAAGUAAUUAGAAUGCACCUCACAAUAGCCAAAAUGUCUCCCUUGGUGUUUACGUUUUUAUUUUCCUGAAAUAAAUAAACCAAAAUUUGGGAAUCACAAUACGUCACUGUGCAUC